GGAGAGCUGCAUGCUCAACCUGCUGCUGUCCCUGCCGGAGGCCAACCUGCUCCCCUUCCUUUUCCUUCUGGACCACCUGAAAAGGGCCCCAGGGCUGAUGGUUGCUUUGGGUCUACAGCUACGUCUUACCCGCCUCCUGGCUCGAAAGCCUGUGUGGUGGCAAAGCCGGUGCGGGGCUGGGGAACACGGCGUUCUCCAGGAGGGGGACCCGGCUCUCCUUCUGCAAUGCAGGCAAAGGCCUAGAUGCCAGUGUGACCUCCCACAAGGCAUGGCUUCCAGACUCCCCGACCAGAAGUGAUGCUUUUUUGCCUCGGGCCCUGGGUUUGAAGCAGCCUGGCUUUCUCUCGGUAAGUGGCUGGUGUCUUAGCAGCUGCAAUCUGAGCUCAGCCACCUACACACCACCGUGGGGGAAAGAACUGCCGACACUUUCAUUAAAAAGUUUCCUGAGACGA
Nomascus leucogenys (northern white-cheeked gibbon) is the source of this 452-nucleotide long non-coding RNA. RefSeq lists it as uncharacterized. Lineage: Eukaryota; Metazoa; Chordata; Mammalia; Primates; Hylobatidae. The record is from RefSeq and is a predicted model, not a curated record. The transcript has 2 exons.